RNAcentral lists this ribosomal RNA (509 nucleotides) under Dialister sp. oral taxon A97. RNAcentral describes it as "bacterial SSU rRNA". It matches the Rfam family "Bacterial small subunit ribosomal RNA", at positions 375 to 878 of the family's 1533-position model. Lineage: Bacteria; Bacillati; Bacillota; Negativicutes; Veillonellales; Veillonellaceae. The record is from RNAcentral.
GCGAAAGCCUGACGGAGCAACGCCGCGUGAGUGAUGACGGCCUUCGGGUUGUAAAACUCUGUGAUCCGGGACGAAAAGGCAGAGUGCGAAGAACAAACUGCAUUGACGGUACCGGAAAAGCAAGCCACGGCUAACUACGUGCCAGCAGCCGCGGUAAUACGUAGGUGGCAAGCGUUGUCCGGAACUAUUGGGCGUAAAGCGCGCGCAGGCGGCUUCCCAAGUCCCUCUUAAAAGUGCGGGGCUUAACCCCGUGAUGGGAAGGAAACUGGGAAGCUGGAGUAUCGGAAAGGAAAGUGGAAUUCCUAGUGUAGCGGUGAAAUGCGUAGAGAUUAGGAAGAACACCGGUGGCGAAGGCGACUUUCUGGACGAAAACUGACGCUGAGGCGCGAAAGCGUGGGGAGCAAACAGGAUUAGAUACCCUGGUAGUCCACGCCGUAAACGAUGGAUACUAGGUGUAGGAGGUAUCGACCCUCCUGUGCCGGAGUUAACGCAUAAGUAUCCGCCUGGGA